Spodoptera litura is the source of this 343-nucleotide non-coding RNA. The record is from RefSeq and is a predicted model, not a curated record. Lineage: Eukaryota; Metazoa; Arthropoda; Insecta; Lepidoptera; Noctuidae.
UUCUAGGUUCCAAAGAAGAUUUAAUUUGCCGGGUGUUGUAGGCUGCAUAGAUUGUACGCACGUGGCCAUUGUAAAGCCAGCCAGGGACGAGCACUUAUUUUUUAAUAGGAAAGGAUAUCAUUCCCUUAAUGUGCAAAUGAUUUGUGAUCACAAUCUUAAAAUACUAAAUGUGAAUGCCAAGUAUGGUGGAGCCACGCAUGACUCAUUUAUAUGGGCUUCCAGCCAAGUGGAGCCUUUCAUGCGUGAGCUUCACCGACGUGGGGAGCAAACGUGGCUUUUAGGUGAUUCAGGAUACCCGCAAAGAGCGUGGCUAAUGACGCCCGUUUUGAAUGCCGCUGCUGGA